GUGGGGAAUAUUGGACAAUGGGCGAAAGCCUGAUCCAGCCAUGCCGCGUGUGUGAAGAAGGUCUUCGGAUUGUAAAGCACUUUAAGUUGGGAGGAAGGGCAGUAAGUUAAUACCUUGCUGUUUUGACGUUACCAACAGAAUAAGCACCGGCUAACUUCGUGCCAGCAACCGCGGUAAUACGAAGGGUGCAAGCGUUAAUCGGAAUUACUGGGCGUAAAGCGCGCAUAGGUGGUUCAGCAAGUUGAAGGUGAAAUCCCCGGGCUCAACCUGGGAACUGCCUCCAAAACUACUGAGCUAGAGUACGGUAGAGGGUAGUGGAAUUUCCUGUGUAGCGGUGAAAUGCGUAGAUAUAGGAAGGAACACCAGUGGCGAAGGCGACUACCUGGACUGAUACUGACACUGAGGUGCGAAAGCGUGGGGAGCAAACAGGAUUAGAAACCCUUGUAGUCC
RNAcentral lists this ribosomal RNA (450 nucleotides) under uncultured bacterium. RNAcentral's name for it is "bacterial SSU rRNA". It matches the Rfam family "Bacterial small subunit ribosomal RNA", at positions 354 to 796 of the family's 1533-position model. The record is from RNAcentral.